This 439-nucleotide ribosomal RNA is filed under the name uncultured bacterium. Its description in RNAcentral is "partial 16S ribosomal RNA". It matches the Rfam family "Bacterial small subunit ribosomal RNA", at positions 339 to 795 of the family's 1533-position model. The record is from RNAcentral.
CUACGGGCUGCAGCAGUGAGGAAUAUUGCACAAUGGAGGAAACUCUGAUGCAGCAACGCCGCGUGGAGGAUGACGCAUUUCGGUGUGUAAACUCCUUUUAUAUGUCAAGAAAAUGACGGUAGCAUAUGAAUAAGCACCGGCUAACUCCGUGCCAGCAGCCGCGGUAAUACGGAGGGUGCAAGCGUUACUCGGAAUCACUGGGCGUAAAGGACGCGUAGGCGGGAUAUCAAGUCAGGUGUGAAAUCCUACAGCUUAACUGUAGAACUGCACUUGAAGCUUCUAAUCUAGAGUAUGGGAGGGGGAGAUGGAAUUAGUGGUGUAGGGGUAAAAUCCGUAGAUAUCACUAGGAAUACCUAAAGCGAAGGCGAUCUCCUGGAACAUUACUGACGCUAAGGCGUGAAAGCGUGGGGAGCAAACAGGAUUAGAUACCCCCGUAGUC